GUUGUUGUGGAGAAAUCAAUUGUGUGGAACGGGUUGUUGUGGGGUUGAGACCUUAUCAGCUCUCCUUACUCUUUACCUUUUUCACGCAAUGCACUUUCUCUUUAACAAGUCAACAUCAAUUUCUUUUGUUGUAAAAGGGCCGGCGGAAGGUGGCUUUCUUUUCGGAGAAAGUGUUUAUAGCCGUUGGUCUCUACAAUCGGAGAGAUUGAGGUCUGCAGCGUAGAUCCUUCGGGGUUAGAUACGUUGGUGCUAAGUUAUAAUCCUACAUAGACAACUUGUUGACUAUGUUCGAUCAUGUAGCUUACUCGCUAGCGCUAUUUUACCUAC
RNAcentral lists this ribosomal RNA (327 nucleotides) under uncultured Neocallimastigales. Its description in RNAcentral is "partial large subunit ribosomal RNA". Lineage: Eukaryota; Fungi; Neocallimastigomycota; Neocallimastigomycetes; Neocallimastigales. The record is from RNAcentral.